CCCCUACAAUGUAUGUAAUUUUAAAUAUUUGUGAACUGGAUAUAGUGGUACAGAUGUGUAGUCCCAGAAUUUGCUAUAUGAGGUGGUUGCCUAUGUGCCCAGCACCUUCAUGGGGAUUUUGCGUAGGAAACACUGCUCAACCUCUCAACAGCACAGUGAGGGAGUAGAGGGCUUAGCCCCAUUGAACAGACGUGGAGCCUGAGGCUGGGGAGACCUUACCAUGAUUUGCUGAUGGGUUUAACAGCUAACCAGAUCUCUACUGCCCCCAUCCUUCUUCCUGAGAACUUCUCUUUACGACACCCUCCCACACACAGGCAUUCAGGUCCACCAGUGGACCCCCAACAGCCAGGAGAUCUAUUCCAGCGGUGGGCAGGAUGCGCCGCUGCUGCCAGAGUCACGGAGCCUGGCUUUAUUGUCAGGGUGAUGGGCAUGACUCAAAAGCCAGCACCUCCAAGGAAAAGGCCAGAUCUAGCCAAGCCCUGAAGCAGGACACUGGGGACCCAGGGACUAGCCCCACCCCACACUGACUUGAUGACCACCCCAGGAGCUUACUCCACCACCUUUUCCCAGCUGAAGAAGUGGGGGGUGAUCCUAGACCCUGUCAAGUUGACAAUGAGCAUUAAACCAUCACAAGGGAUAAUGGAAAUUCCAUAUCAAAAUGUGUUCAGCUACCAAGAGUCAGAGCGACACAGCUUAAACCACAUUCAGAAAUGGGGAAGCAAAUGUGUGAAGAGAGGCGGCAGAAAGGAGAAGAAAAAGAAUGAAAGGCAAAAGACGGGAGAAGAGGGGUUAGACAGUGGCCUGUAGUAAUGUGAGUGGUGGUCUGGAUAUGUCCAUGUGUCUGGCUGAGACAGGAGAAUUGCUUUAAGUUUAAGGCCAGCUUGGGUAAGAAGGGAAGGGAGAGGCAGGGUCUGCCCAGCCGCAGAGCCCUUCAGGCAGAUCCCAGUACUACCCUGCUCUCAAUUCAUGGAGCCCGUAACAGACAGCCCAGCUUCUGCAACCCCUACCCCCAGACAGCACCCCACCUUCCCAGGUCCCUUCUAAAGCCUAGAGGAGUUGGGGAGGUCAGAGUACAAAGCAAAGCUAAGAAACGCAGGGGAACUCAUGGGCACUAGGAAGGCCCCUUCUCAGCCACCCUCUACAGCCAGGCUACCCCACCCCCGGAAGCCCCCCUCGCUGACACCAGACCACGCCCCUUUUCCUUUUCUGGGCUACCACAUCUUCCCUGCUGCCUACCCUGUCCCCAGAGACCCAGAGCGAUGACCCUGCCAGCCCCUUGCAGGAAGACUUAAUUUGUGUCAGCUCUGUUAACCUUCCCAACAGGGCAGAUACUGAACCAUCCUCCUGGAUGGCUACCCGGGCAGAAGCCACCCAUUCCUGAGGGGCCGUUGUCACAUAGCACCCACUGGGCUACAGUUCUGAGGCCAAGGGCUCAGGAGGGUCUUGCUGUCUACAGGCCCCUGCCAGGAACCUGUUCUCUGCUU
Peromyscus eremicus (cactus mouse) is the source of this 1484-nucleotide long non-coding RNA. RefSeq lists it as uncharacterized. Lineage: Eukaryota; Metazoa; Chordata; Mammalia; Rodentia; Cricetidae. The transcript is spliced from 4 exons. The record is from RefSeq and is a predicted model, not a curated record.